This 460-nucleotide ribosomal RNA is filed under the name uncultured bacterium. RNAcentral's name for it is "partial 16S ribosomal RNA". It matches the Rfam family "Bacterial small subunit ribosomal RNA", at positions 338 to 795 of the family's 1533-position model. The record is from RNAcentral.
CCUACGGGUGGCAGCAGUGAGGAAUAUUGGUCAAUGGGCGCUAGCCUGAACCAGCCAAGUAGCGUGAAGGAUGACGGCCCUAUGGGUUGUAAACUUCUUUUGUAUGGGCAUAAAGUUCAAUAUGUAUACUUCUUUGCAUGUACCUUAUGAAUAAGGAUCGGCUAACUCCGUUCCAGCAGCCGCGGUAAUACGGAGGAUCCGAGCGUUAUCCGGAGUUAUUGGGUUUAAAGGGAGCGUAGGCGGGUUGGUAAGUUAGAUGGGAAAGUUUGCGGCUCAACCUGAAAAUUGCAGUUGAUACUGUCAUCCUUGAGGACAGUAGAGGUAGGCGGAAUUCGUGGUGUAGCGGUGAAAUGCUUAGAUAUCACGAAGAACACCGAUUGCGAAGGCAGCUUACUAAUCUGUGACUGACAUUGAUGCACGAAAGUGUGGGUAUCAAACAGGAUUAGAUACCCCAGUAGUC